AGCAGCUGAGCCAGAUACCUAAUGACCUGAUGCUUAAUGGCCGAUCCAGGGUUUUGUGGCUGGGAGGAAGCAGCCAAUGAGGGUGGGAUCGGCACUGGGAAGGCAGUGGGGGGCUCAGGGAGUUGCCUGCGUUUGCAGCCUGUGCGUGGAAAGGCUGCAGGCUUGGAAAAUUGGGGUGCUGUGCAAAUGUCCUGCUGGGGUGGGGAUGGUGGGUGUCCUCAUGGUUACAAUCCUUCUGUGGCAGGGUCUCUGUGGUUGCCAUGGUGCUAAGGUGGGGGGGGGGUCUCUCUGUGGUUAGAGUCCUGCUUGGCGUGGUCUCCAUGGUUAGAGUGGGGCAGGGGCUGGGAGUCAGGACUCCUGGGUUCUAUCCCCAGCUCCAGAAGGGGAGCGUGAUCAACAGAGGCGCAAGGCCAGACUAGGCCAUAAAGACUGAACUCCCUUCUCUCUCCUAGAAGGAUUCCUGCAGGGCAGGUGGGCACACAUGGAGAGAGAAGAUUGGGGAAGGGGGGGAGCCUUAGCCAUUAGGGAUCAUGUUUUCCAGCUUCUCUUCAUAUUAACUUUGGGGAAAAAAUUCCCCUGAGAUUCUCACAUCAUCACCUGACUCCUGGAGCUGAGUCUUUAAGGAAACCACCAGCUAUUGUGAGACAUGUGAUGUACACAUGAGAGCUGGCAAAGCUGUUGCAUUUAUAUUUGCAUUGUGUUUCAUCUGGUAUCUCCGAGGCAGGGAGAGGCGGCUUCUUGUGUCACUUUGAAUCAAAUAAAUGCAUAAAAUACAGGGAUAUCCAAAGUCAUCAAUGAACGUAGGAAGUGCCAGACUGGAUCAGACCCGAGGUCCAUCGAGUGCAGUCUCCUGUCUCUGACCAUGGACAGGACCAGAUGAUCCAGAGGAAGGAUUUCUGCAAAUUGACUGCUUGAUUAUUUGCUACAUUAUCCUUCCAGGAACUGAAGUUAAGUUGACUGCUGAGUUCUUUGCUGGAUCUGCAAAGCAGGGACUGCACAGCCCCUCGGCCUCCUCCCCACUGCACUUCCCCUUCCCCGGGCCAGCAAGGGGAAAGGUUCUGACCCAGGGACUGGCUGGGCAGUGGGAGCCGCAGGGCAGCAGAGAAGAGAAGAGAAGCCCCAGGAGCUGUGGCCAGAGCUGCAUGUGGAACAGGCUGAGUGUGAGACAUCAGUGCUGUGGGCUGGUCUGAGUGCGAGCAGCAGCAGCUGGGCAGAGAGACACUGACUGAGCCUGGUGUGGAAACCCGCAAGUUCCUGUUUGCUGGCUAGAGACUGGCCUGGCGAGUGCACCCCAGGCUCUGAGCCUGAAGAGCCCUGGCAGUUGGCGGGACUGACCCAGGGACCCAGACAGGAACCGGCCUGCAACCACUGCGUCUCACUCUGCUCUGUAACUGUUUCACCCUCUGACCCUAGGGUCUCUGCAGCCUUCCCCUUUCCAGUCAGCCCUAGUAAAAACAUCUCCCUCAGCCACGUGUCCGAGUGCUUACUGGGACCCAGCAGGACUCGCAUCGACAAGGCCUAGCUGCAAAACACCUACAGUGCUUGCGUCCAAGUCGCGAUAACCUGGCACGCAACAGGCGCCCUAGGGGGGCUGAUGUACUGGGCAACCACAGUAAUUACCCUGGUGUCCAAGGUGGGAUGCCGGCUGCAGAUUUGGCUGGCAAGGCUUAUGGGGCAGGUACCACAGGUGCGAGGGCUGCUUGGUGGGUGGAAAUGACCAACCCUGACAAUCAAAGUGUCCCCCUGAGCGCCGAGAGCAGAAAUAGGGCAGGGCAGGUGGAGAGAUGUGGCCGCCCGGCUUCGUGCCCGGAGCUCAUACUGGGGAUGGCCAGGGCUGGGCUGGCUGAAGCAACCUGGCUGUGUGAGCUGCCCAAAUAAAGGCUGGGGUGAGGCUGCCAAGCUGGAUUUCCAUGGCCUGCUGCUCCAAAGCAAAGCCCAGGAGGGGUUUGAAGGACUGACACAUGGUGCCGCAAGGAAUAUGCCUCUG
Molecule: long non-coding RNA, 1987 nt
Organism: Mauremys reevesii (Reeves's turtle)
Lineage: Eukaryota; Metazoa; Chordata; Testudines; Geoemydidae
Exons: 3
Source: RefSeq, a predicted model, not a curated record